UACGGGAGGCAGCAGUGGGGAAUAUUGCACAAUGGGCGCAAGCCUGAUGCAGCCAUGCCGCGUGUAUGAAAAAGGCCUUCGGGUUGUAAAGUACUUUCAGCCGUGAGGAAGGUGUUAAGGUUAAUAACCUUAGCAAUUGACGUUAGCGACAGAAGAAGCACCGGCUAACUCCGUGCCAGCAGCCGCGGUAAUACGGAGGGUGCGAGCGUUAAUCGGAAUUACUGGGCGUAAAGGGCACGCAGGCGGUUAAUUAAGUUGGAUGUGAAAUCCCCGGGCUUAACCUGGGAAUGGCAUUCAAGACUGGUUAGCUAGAGUCUUGUAGAGGGGGUAGAAUUCCAUGUGUAGCGGUGAAAUGCGUAGAGAUGUGGAGGAAUACCGGUGGCGAAGGCGGCCCCUGGGACAAAGACUGACGCUCAUGUGCGAAAGCGUGGGGAGCAAAC
RNAcentral lists this ribosomal RNA (440 nucleotides) under uncultured bacterium. RNAcentral describes it as "bacterial SSU rRNA". It matches the Rfam family "Bacterial small subunit ribosomal RNA", at positions 340 to 773 of the family's 1533-position model. The record is from RNAcentral.